UUUUUUUUUUCAUUUCUACUCCUGAUGCCCAGCAAUGUGCAUGGUACAGAUAAAUGGAUAAAUCUGUAUGAUAUUUGUAUACAGAUAAAUGGAUAAAUCUAAACGUGUUAUUUGCAUACAGAUAAAUAAAUGGAUAAAUCUAAACAUGUGUUAUUUGCAUACAGAUAAAUGGAUAAAUCUAAACAUGUGUUAUUUGCAUACAGAUAAAUGGAUAAAUCUAAACAUGUGUUAUUUGCAUACAGAUAAAUGGAUAAAUCUAAACAUGUGUUAUUUGCAUACAGAUAAAUGGAUAAAUCUAAACAUGUGUUAUUUGCAUACAGAUAAAUGGAUAAAUCUAAACAUGUGUUAUUUGCAUACAGAUAAAUGGAUAAAUCUAAACAUGUGUUAUUUGCAUACAUUACUCAUAUGAUCUUGGAUCUUGGUAUUAACCAGUGUGUAGUAGAGUGAUACUGAGGUGAUUUUCUAGUUGUGAUCUUGUUUACUCUUUUAAGCUAAAGAGUUCCCUCAUGUGAAUGCUACCCCAGGAAUAUUAUUAUAAUAUUCCCCAAUGAUCAAUAAAAUGCACACUUAUUUCUAGAUAUGACACCAAAGUACAAGAGAAUCUGAGACUAGGGUUGUUUACACCAGGGGUUCGCAAAGUGAUCCCUUGACUAGCAGCAUCAGACCCACUGAAUCAGAAACUAUUAGAGGGAGACCCAGAAAUCCAAGCUUUCAACAAGACUACAAGUUACUAUAAUAAAUUCUUAUGGCUGAAAACCCCUGACUAGGUACAACUGGGCAGAAAAUUGUUCUCACUAAUCUGCCCUGAAUAAUGGGAUGUUCCCUGGACCUAACCGACAGGUCAACAUUGCUAUCACAACAGGCAAGUUCUCUCUUCUGAGGAAAUGCAACUUCAUUUUAGGCCACAGAAUGGGAGCAAAUAAGUAAAACUCUGACCAGAAAAAUUAGUGGAUUUCUCUUAUUUCUGUCACUACUCUUUAUAGCAUGACUUAAACCAGUAGGUCUUAAAAACUACUGUUUUAAACCACAUAGCACAGUUGCAUGGCACUCUGGUGGUUCUAACCAGGGGCAAAAAAUGAGUGAACUAGAACUCGACAGAAUGAAGGAAAAACGAAUGGAGCAGCAAGGGUCAGCAGUCUAAAGAAAAGGAUGCAGGAUGGGACCAGUUCUCGACCAAGCAUAGCUGGUGUCAAGGUAGGGAGGAGGGGCCACAGUGGGGAAAGGAAGAAUGGGUAGGGAGAGGAAGAAAGGCCGUGGUGGCCAAUAGCAGGCAGGAGUCCGGUCCUGUGUCAGGAAUGUUCCUGUGCUGCGGCGUGGAGAACACCGAAAGCUGCCUCCAGCUCCAUGCCAAGGGCUAAUGAGAUAGUGAGGAGUUUGAGGCAAGAAUCUAGCCCCACACAGGAAAAGAGGAAGCAGCAAGCCCGAGGGCUGGAGAAUAAUCACAAGAGCAGCAGCUGUUAACAUGAAGUACUGAUUUUAUACUUGGUUCAUUAUAGAAAUAUAAAAAAUACAUAUACAUAUUUAUUAGAUAUACUGUUUUGUUUUGUUUUGUCUUUUUGCCUCUUCUAGGGCCACUCCCACUGCAUAUGGAGGUUCCCAGGCUAGGGGUCAAAUCAGAGCUGUAGCUGCCGGCCUACACCAGAGCCACAGCAACGCAGGAUCCAAGCUGCAUCUGCAACCUAUACCACAGCUCACAGCAGUGUCAGAUCCUUAACCCACUGAGCAAGGCCAGGGAUCGAACCCACAACCUCAUGGUUCCUAAUCGAAUUCGUUAACCACUGAGCCACAACGGGAACUCCUAGAUACAGUGUUGUAUAUAUUUUAUAGAAUGUUAAUGUACAUUUAUUGGCUAUAUUAUAAUUCGUGAUAUAUGUUACUUGUCCUGGUCAUCUUGAAAGAGCCAUUGUACAAAUGAGGAGGCAAAGACACAGAGAUAAAUCUUGCCCAAAUGACGGUGACGAACAAGUUGGUAGCUGUGUCCCUCAUUCGAGCCUUAUAAUCUUUCUACCAUAUCACUGAACUUCCCAGAUAAGCAGGACAGCUGUUCAAGAUGAGGAGAGAGAGGGAAGGUGAGACCCCAUGCUGACGUGAGCCCCUGGACUGGGAAACCACCUCAGGAGCACAAGAGCAGCAGGUGAUUUUCAUGGCCACCUGGUAGCAGGCAGCAAUUCUUCAUGCGUCCCCAAGUCUGGCUCUUACUGAUCCACGGCUUGGGAGAGCCAGAGCCUGCAGAGGUCAGCAUCCUGAAGGCUGAUAAACUGUACAUUUUUAUGCCUUUGUAUACAGCUAGACUAGUUUUCAGUAACAAAGGAAGCUCUGUUCAUUGACUUACCAGACCAGAGCAAGGUGUGCCUUAGAGGUUCAGCCAUGGUUAAGCUCGUGGACGCUGAAGCCUGUCUGCAACGUAUAAGCUAUGUGACCUGGUCAAGUCACUUAACAUCCCUAUGCCAGGAUUUUCUACUCCCUAAAACGGGGAUAGCAGCGAUGCCGCCCUCAUUGGGCUGUUGGGACUAUGCGAGUCACUACAGGUAAAGCACAGUGCCCACUACACAGUACAAGCUAUAUAAGCAUAAUUUCAAAAGGCUCAGUUAUCACUUCAAAUGUCUUUUCAGUGUCUCACAGGAAUAAAGCAUGAAACCAUCAAGCAGGAAGAUCUUUGCUUUAGUUCAGUUUAGGUAGAUUCAUUUAUAAAGUUUAUAACUGAGCCCAACUCCUAGAAUACUAGUGCUUCAUGGAAAAAAUAUAAUAAAAUUAUCAGUGAAAGAUGUGAAAAGGGAAAAAAUCCUCCCCAUACAAUCAUCAUUACCCAAAUCUGCCACUUUCACAUAUUACGAGCUAGUCUUUGUCCAUGGACACACACAUUUUACACUAUUGUAAUCACUGCAGAUAACUAAAUCUCUAUUUUUUUAUAAUUAUCGUGAUUAUAUCACAAGUAUUUCUGAUUAUAACUCAUGUUCAUGACAUAUUAAUGGCUGGAAAAUAGUCUAUCCCAUCACUAAACUGUAUUCUCUGCACAACCAAGAAAUUCAGCUUAUUAAUCAUGAAACCAUUAGACUCUGGAUAACUUUUAUCUGGAAGUAAAAACAGCUUCUUGUAUCAAAAAUGAUGGGUAGCCAAUCAAACAUCAGAAGAGAGAAAAGGUUUUUUAACUGUUUGAAAACAAUGAUGAACUGAGCGCAAUUAUUUUUUUAGUAAUAUGUUACUAAUGACUAUGAACUAAAAGAAAAUCAAAUGUCCUUUCUAUAAUGUCAGUAAAACGCUCAGGCCUUGGACUCCUUGGCAAUACCUCUGUCUUCCUUUUUUUUUAGGGUGGGGGAGAAUGCUGG
Molecule: long non-coding RNA, 3326 nt
Filed under: Sus scrofa (pig)
Lineage: Eukaryota; Metazoa; Chordata; Mammalia; Artiodactyla; Suidae
Description: lncRNA (ENSSSCG00055000109.1)
Source: RNAcentral